Molecule: transfer RNA, 72 nt
Filed under: Phrynosoma platyrhinos (Desert horned lizard)
Lineage: Eukaryota; Metazoa; Chordata; Lepidosauria; Squamata; Phrynosomatidae
Description: tRNA-OTHER
Source: RNAcentral
GCCAGUGUGAUGUAGUGGUUUGAGUGCUGGAUUAGGACUCUGGAGACCAAGGUUCAAACCCCUGCUUGGCCA